CGGGGUGGAGUAACGCGUGGGUAACCGUGCCUCACACAGGGGAGUAACAGUUGGAAACGGCUGCUAAUACCGCAUAAGCGCACAGUACCGCAUGGUACAGUGUGAAAAACUCCGGUGGUGUGAGAUGGACCCGCGUCUGAUUAGCUAGUUGGCAGGGUAACGGCCUACCAAGGCGACGAUCAGUAGCCGACCUGAGAGGGUGACCGGCCACAUUGGGACUGAGACACGGCCCAA
Molecule: ribosomal RNA, 234 nt
Filed under: uncultured bacterium
Lineage: Bacteria
Description: partial 16S ribosomal RNA
Rfam family: Bacterial small subunit ribosomal RNA
Source: RNAcentral